CUUGAUGAACGCUAGCUACAGGCUUAACACAUGCAAGUCGAGGGGCAGCAUGGUCUUAGCUUGCUAAGGCCGAUGGCGACCGGCGCACGGGUGAGUAACACGUAUCCAACCUGCCGUCUACUCUUGGACAGCCUUCUGAAAGGAAGAUUAAUACAAGAUGGCAUCAUGAGUCCGCAUGUUCACAUGAUUAAAGGUAUUCCGGUAGACGAUGGGGAUGCGUUCCAUUAGAUAGUAGGCGGGGUAACGGCCCACCUAGUCUUCGAUGGAUAGGGGUUCUGAGAGGAAGGUCCCCCACAUUGGAACUGAGACACGGUCCAAACUCCUACGGGAGGCAGCAGUGAGGAAUAUUGGUCAAUGGGCGAGAGCCUGAACCAGCCAAGUAGCGUGAAGGAUGACUGCCCUAUGGGUUGUAAACUUCUUUUAUAAAGGAAUAAAGUCGGGUAUGGAUACCCGUUUGCAUGUACUUUAUGAAUAAGGAUCGGCUAACUCCGUGCCAGCAGCCGCGGUAAUACGGAGGAUCCGAGCGUUAUCCGGAUUUAUUGGGUUUAAAGGGAGCGUAGAUGGAUGUUUAAGUCAGUUGUGAAAGUUUGCGGCUCAACCGUAAAAUUGCAGUUGAUACUGGAUAUCUUGAGUGCAGUUGAGGCAGGCGGAAUUCGUGGUGUAGCGGUGAAAUGCUUAGAUAUCACGAAGAACUCCGAUUGCGAAGGCAGCCUGCUAAGCUGCAACUGACAUUGAGGCUCGAAAGUGUGGGUAUCAAACAGGAUUAGAUACCCUGGUAGUCCACACGGUAAACGAUGAAUACUCGCUGUUUGCGAUAUACUGCAAGCGGCCAAGCGAAAGCGUUAAGUAUUCCACCUGGGGAGUACGCCGGCAACGGUGAAACUCAAAGGAAUUGACGGGGGCCCGCACAAGCGGAGGAACAUGUGGUUUAAUUCGAUGAUACGCGAGGAACCUUACCCGGGCUUAAAUUGCAGAUGAAUUACGGUGAAAGCCGUAAGCCGCAAGGCAUCUGUGAAGGUGCUGCAUGGUUGUCGUCAGCUCGUGCCGUGAGGUGUCGGCUUAAGUGCCAUAACGAGCGCAACCCUUGUUGUCAGUUACUAACAGGUUCCGCUGAGGACUCUGACAAGACUGCCAUCGUAAGAUGUGAGGAAGGUGGGGAUGACGUCAAAUCAGCACGGCCCUUACGUCCGGGGCUACACACGUGUUACAAUGGGGGGUACAGAGGGCCGCUACCACGCGAGUGGAUGCCAAUCCCCAAAACCUCUCUCAGUUCGGACUGGAGUCUGCAACCCGACUCCACGAAGCUGGAUUCGCUAGUAAUCGCGCAUCAGCCACGGCGCGGUGAAUACGUUCCCGGGCCUUGUACACACCGCCCGUCAAGCCAUGGGAGCCGGGGGUACCUGAAGUGCGUAACCGCGAGGAGCGCCCUAGGGU
RNAcentral lists this ribosomal RNA (1434 nucleotides) under uncultured bacterium. RNAcentral's name for it is "bacterial SSU rRNA". It matches the Rfam family "Bacterial small subunit ribosomal RNA". The record is from RNAcentral.